This 254-nucleotide ribosomal RNA is filed under the name uncultured bacterium. RNAcentral describes it as "partial 16S ribosomal RNA". It matches the Rfam family "Bacterial small subunit ribosomal RNA", at positions 524 to 776 of the family's 1533-position model. The record is from RNAcentral.
UACAUAGGGAGCAAGCGUUAUCCGGAAUGAUUGGGCGUAAAGCGUCUGUAGGUGGUUCAAAAAGUCUACUGUCAAAUACGUUGGCUCAACCAACGGCAGGCAUUAGAGUACUAUUGAACUAGAGUGUGGUAGAGGUAGAGGGAAUCCCUAGCGUAACAGUGAAAUGUGUAGAUUUUAGGGAGAACACCAGCGGCGAAGGCGCUCUACUGGGCCAUUACUGACACUGAGAGACGAAAGCUAAGGGAGCGAAAGGG